Molecule: long non-coding RNA, 282 nt
Organism: Eriocheir sinensis (Chinese mitten crab)
Lineage: Eukaryota; Metazoa; Arthropoda; Malacostraca; Decapoda; Varunidae
Exons: 3
Source: RefSeq, a predicted model, not a curated record
CACACCCAUGGCUCAGACAAGUGUGAACAGAGACAGCUGAGAAUGCUAACGGUCACGCUUGCCAAGAUGCUCUGCGAUAACUGUGAUAAUGUGGAGAGUGAGCAGCGGUCCGUCUUUGACCUUCCUGACCCCUUCCUGAACCCUCGUGUGUCCCACCUUGACCUGCCGGGGAUCAACCCGGAGCUGUGGAAGGAGCGCGUGUCAUGUGGGGUCGGCAAGACUGAUAUUGACAUCGGGGCAGCCGAGCGCAUAUCACCCUGUGUCAUGUGCACCUGUACCAAG